UGGCUCUCGCAUCGAUGAAGAACGCAGCGAAUUGCGAUAAGUAAUGUGAAUUGCAGAAUUCAGUGAAUCAUCGAAUCUUUGAACGCACCUUGCGCUCCCUGGUAUUCCGGGGAGCACGCCUGUUCGAGUGUCGUGAAUACCUCAAGUUGGACGGCUUUAUUGCUUGUCUGGCUUGGAUAUGGAUGCUGCUGUCUUGCCCUUUGCAGGGUGAUGGCUCGUCUUAAAUGGAUUAGCUGAUCCUUGACUUGUGUGCUUGGUUCUACUCGGCGUGAUAAUUCUCUGACCGCUGAGGACAUCUUCGGAUGGCCAGGUAUACCUCGGAUCGCUUCUAAUUGUCUUUGUGACAACCUUCUUCACCCUUUGACCUCGAAUCAGGUGGGACUACCCGCUGA
RNAcentral lists this unclassified non-coding RNA (392 nucleotides) under uncultured fungus. Its description in RNAcentral is "partial contains 5.8S ribosomal RNA and internal transcribed spacer 2". The stretch from base 1 to 133 matches the Rfam family "5.8S ribosomal RNA", at positions 22 to 154 of the family's 154-position model. Lineage: Eukaryota; Fungi. The record is from RNAcentral.